This 85-nucleotide transfer RNA is filed under the name Vibrio cholerae. RNAcentral's name for it is "tRNA-Leu". It matches the Rfam family "tRNA". From Rfam's summary of the family: Transfer RNA (tRNA) molecules are approximately 80 nucleotides in length. Their secondary structure includes four short double-helical elements and three loops (D, anti-codon, and T loops). Lineage: Bacteria; Pseudomonadati; Pseudomonadota; Gammaproteobacteria; Vibrionales; Vibrionaceae. The record is from RNAcentral.
GCGAAAGUGGCGAAAUUGGUAGACGCACCAGAUUUAGGUUCUGGCGCCGCGAGGCGUAAGAGUUCAAGUCUCUUCUUCCGCACCA